This is a long non-coding RNA of Zophobas morio, 999 nucleotides long. RefSeq lists it as uncharacterized. The record is from RefSeq and is a predicted model, not a curated record. NCBI's taxonomy places the organism in Eukaryota, Metazoa, Arthropoda, Insecta, Coleoptera, Tenebrionidae. The transcript has 2 exons.
UAAAAAUUGUGAAAAAUCACGUAAUGGACAAUGGCAGAGCAAGUCUUAUCACAGUUAACGAACACUAUGAGUACCUAAUGAGUUUUUGCAGUAAAUAAUUUUGCCAAAGUUGUGAUCCCGCGAAAGUUCUGUUUGUAAAUUGUAAGGAAUCGUCAAAAUAUUGGUGCAGACAUGGUUUGUGACCGGUGCUUUUCUCUUGAAAAAACACAACUGAAAGCCUUGAUCUUCAUCCCUACAAUAGAUAUCUGAAACAUGCCAGAUCUGCAUAACAGGAAUGUCAAAGAGGUUCUACCCAAAACACGCCCACAUGGCCAUCCUAAUAUCAAGAUUUUUCAAAAUUUCUAUAACAAAAAAGAUGAAAAAACCAAUAAAAUUUCAGGAGCAUAGUGUUAAGAGUUCUGUAGAUGAUUAUGAGAUCUCUUGAAACAACAGAAUGUUUAAUAAAGAUUUUUAACUUUCCUAAUAGUAAAAUUACAAUUAUUACUAAACAGUAAGUUGAAGUAAGUUUUAAAUUAAGAGAAUGCAACUAACACCGAAAGAAAAAUGAAAGUUACUGAAAAUAAAAAACUUUAUUGCAGUACCUACAUACACUUUCUACAUCUAAUUUUGUUUAUUGAUCACAUUCAUUUACUUGGAAAAGUAUCAGGCCUAUGAAUCGUCGUCUGGAAACAGCUAACCACACACCAACCUUCAUUGCGUGUGAUGGUGUUUCUUCAAAAGCGUGAGUAUUUUCUAUACACCAAAUUCUGAAGUUCUGUCAGUUGACAUAAUAGCCUAACAGAUGAAACCAGGCUUCAUCAGAAAAGAACGACAAAUCGAGAAUCCCGUUAUCGUCCAUAUCAGCUUGAAACCAACUACAAUACCCAACGCGGCAAGGAAAAUCAGCUGGUUGCAGCUCCUGAACCAACAAAAUCUUGUAUGGAUGCAUAUGUAACUUCUCUUUUACGAUUUUCUGACAUGGGCUGUAUGGUACUCCGGACAGUAAAGAUUUUUGACAAA